RNAcentral lists this ribosomal RNA (1382 nucleotides) under uncultured bacterium. Its description in RNAcentral is "bacterial SSU rRNA". It matches the Rfam family "Bacterial small subunit ribosomal RNA". The record is from RNAcentral.
UUAGAGUUUGAUCCUGGCUCAGGAUGAACCCUAGCGGCAGGCUUAACACAUGCAAGUCGAGGGGCAGCGAGAUCAGUGCUUGCACUGAUUGUCGGCGACCGGCGCACGGGUGCGUAACGCGUAUGCAACCUACCCAUUACAGGGGGAUAACGCUGAGAAAUCGGUACUAAUACCCCAUAACAUCCAGGGAGGCAUCUUCUUGGGUUGAAAACUCCGGUGGUAAUGGAUGGGCAUGCGUUGUAUUAGUUAGUUGGUGGGGUAACGGCUCACCAAGACAACGAUACAUAGGGGGACUGAGAGGUUAACCCCCCACAUUGGUACUGAGACACGGACCAAACUCCUACGGGAGGCAGCAGUGAGGAAUAUUGGUCAAUGGACGCAAGUCUGAACCAGCCAUGCCGCGUGCAGGAAGACGGCUCUAUGAGUUGUAAACUGCUUUUGUACGAGGGUAAACGCAGAUACGCGUAUCUGUCUGAAAGUAUCGUACGAAUAAGGAUCGGCUAACUCCGUGCCAGCAGCCGCGGUAAUACGGAGGAUUCAAGCGUUAUCCGGAUUUAUUGGGUUUAAAGGGUGCGUAGGCGGUCGGAUAAGUUAGAGGUGAAAUCCCGGGGCUCAACUUCGGAAUUGCCUCUGAUACUGUUCGGCUAGAGAGUAGUUGCGGUAGGCGGAAUGUAUGGUGUAGCGGUGAAAUGCUCAGAGAUCAUACAGAACACCGAUUGCGAAGGCAGCUUACCAAGCUACUUCUGACGUUGAGGCACGAAAGCGUGGGGAGCAAACAGGAUUAGAUACCCUGGUAGUCCACGCAGUAAACGAUGAUAACUCGUUGUCGGCGAAUCAGUGUCGGUGAAUAAGGGAGAAAGUAAAAGUUUUCCACAUGGGGAAGUACAUUUCGCAAGAAUGAAACUCAAAGGAAUUGACGGGGGCCCGCACAAGCGGAGGAACAUGUGGUUUAAUUCGAUGAUACGCGAGGAACCUUACCCGGGCUUGAAAGUUAGUGACGGAUCUUGAAAGAGGUCUUCCCUUCGGGGCACGAAAAUAGGUGCUGCAUGGUUGUCGUCAGCUCGUGCCGUGAGGUGUCGGGUUAAGUCCCAUAACGAGCGCAACCCCUACCGUUAGUUGCCAGCAGGUCAAGCUGGGCACUCUGACGGGACUGCCGGUGUAAGCCGAGAGGAAGGUGGGGAUGACGUCAAAUCAGCACGGCCCUUACGUCCGGGGCUACACACGUGUUACAAUGGCAGGUACAGAGGGCAGCUACCCAGCGAUGGGAUGCGAAUCUCGAAAGCCUGUCUCAGUUCGGAUUGGAGGCUGAAACCCGCCAACAUGAAGUUGGAUUCGCUAGUAAUCGCGCAUCAGCCAUGGCGCGGUGAAUACGUUCCCGGGCC